Molecule: long non-coding RNA, 1170 nt
Organism: Hippocampus zosterae (dwarf seahorse)
Lineage: Eukaryota; Metazoa; Chordata; Actinopteri; Syngnathiformes; Syngnathidae
Exons: 3
Source: RefSeq, a predicted model, not a curated record
AGCGCACACCUCAACAGUUAUAGUUGUAUAACAUGUAUGAAAUAUUAUAGAACCAUUUAAAAUGUAUUUUUAAAUUUGACAUUCUUCCACCGUUAAACAAAUUGAUCACUGUGCAGUAAAAUCAAUUAACACUAAAACCUGUUGCCCUUUCAAUGUAGAUAAUGCCUGAAGCAUACACACGGUGUACCUUCCAUUCUUGUCUUUUAUUGAUGUCACUUGAUUACACUGAAUAACCACGACAAACGCUUACUCAUUCCUUUACAUUUGUAUUUUUAUCUAAUGAUGAUCCACCAAACUACCUACAAACCUGAAAACUUUUGUAUGUGUAUUUUCCUCAAUUUGCUCUAUUCAACCAUGUACAUAGUAUGUCUGCGACUGGAUGUGAUUGUGAAAUAACAGGUGAAAGGCAAUUUGAAUGUUUCUUCAUUAGCUGUUAAAUAUGCACACAGAAGGGAUUAUUACAUUUUUCUAUUUUGAAAAUAUGCAUCACAUUAUUUCCAAUGCAAUAAAAGUAUUCACCACACCUAUGACUGCCAUAAAAUUCUGGUCGGUAGAUAGAUAGUAUUGUAUUCGGCUUUAAAAAGUUGGUCAAAAUGGAAUGUGUUAAUUUCCGGGGGAAAUUAAUACUUCGUAAUCAAUUCACUUUUCAUAUGAAGUCAAGCGCCAGUGUUGCGUCUUCCUGUCAUGCUGUUGUCGUCACAACGCAUCUUUGGAGAUUUAAAUCCAACGUUAAACGCCUACCUAUGAAAAAUGAAAAUACACCACAUAAGUCAGUUCGUUUUUCUAAUGUAGAAGAACCUGAGAACUUUAGCUUAUUUUGACUUGUCACCAGUUGAGUGGGCUGCGUGACGUCACCAGGUAGUUCGCAGGCACUUCCCCUCCUACUUGCGAGCCACUUCGUGUUUUUAAGGGGGAGUUGGGGGCCACCUUGGUCCAAAUAUCCUCCCGAGACCAAUGAUAUGCAUCUGAUUCUGAGAUGAGCUUCGAGUGAAACGGAUUGUUGUCAUGUUAUCUUUCUCCCACCUGCUCCUCCUCCUUCUUGUGGAGGGAACCCAGAAUCGACCUUCAGAUUCAGAAGCAAAGCUACAAAGACGGGCUAAUGCACUUCGAAGGAAACGGGAUCUCCUGUGGGAUGAGUUUGGUACACUACACCGAAGAGAACCAGAGCAG